UUAAUUAUGUAAUGAUAAUUACCCAACGACUAUCGCUCCCAGCCAUGCUGGCGAUACGAUGAUAGCAGUCGUACUUAACCUAUUCUAAACCUUUUCUGACUGUCGGUCGAUUUGCGCUGGCUUAUAUUGGCAUCGGGCUCGAUUGUCGUGACGUCACGACAAAGUGAAAAUACCCGCCAUGCUUGUUAGUUGAUAUGCUGCCAUGCCGAUCGAACCGACGAAAGGAAACACGCACCCUAGGACGCGGAUAAUUAUUAUGGGAAACAUUCAUAAUACUUAUCGCUGAUGGACUUUGUAAGCAUAAACAAAACAAUCAUAAACAGUUCAAGCGUGACUUGGGAAUGUAAGAUGUCGAGGAAAUUCGGGCGUCACUAAUUACCGACCUCGUCCCAAUUGUACACUUGAAAAUGUUACUCAUAGUAACGGGAAUAAUUACGGAACCGUAACAUGGCACCCUCCCAUGUGAAGAACAUUCGUCCUCGAAUGGUUUUAUACUUCAAUCAGGGAUUAUUCAAAGAAUAUUUUCACGAUCUAUCCACAGGAGGCUCUAUCUGUCAGCUUUGGCUUGUCCUUUUCUUAUGGUUCAUGAUCCUUGAUUCGUCUACG
Saccostrea cuccullata (small rock oyster) is the source of this 606-nucleotide long non-coding RNA. RefSeq lists it as uncharacterized. NCBI's taxonomy places the organism in Eukaryota, Metazoa, Mollusca, Bivalvia, Ostreida, Ostreidae. The transcript has 3 exons. The record is from RefSeq and is a predicted model, not a curated record.